Molecule: ribosomal RNA, 1242 nt
Filed under: metagenome
Description: bacterial LSU rRNA
Rfam family: Bacterial large subunit ribosomal RNA
Source: RNAcentral
UGAAUACGAGAUGCUACGGCGUCGAAGCAGUCUAUGUCAUACUUCCAAGAAAAGCUUGCACUGUCAUAAACAAAUAAUGCCUGUACCAUAACCGACACAGGUGGGUAGGUAGAGUAUACUAAGGGGCGCGAGAUAACUCUCUCUAAGGAACUCGGCAAAAUGACUCCGUAACUUCGGGAGAAGGAGUGCCUUAUUUAUAAGGUUGCAAUAACAAGAUCCAAGCAACUGUUUACCAAAAACACAGGUCUCCGCUAAGUCGUAAGACGAUGUAUGGGGGCUGACGCCUGCCCAGUGCCAGAAGGUUAAAGAAGUUGGUUAGCAUCCGCGAAGCUGAUAACUGAAGCCCUGGUGAACGGCGGCCGUAACAAUAACGGUCCUAAGGUAGCGAAAUUCCUUGUCGGGUAAGUUCCGACCCGCACGAAAGGCGUAAUGAUUUGGAUACUGUCUCGGAGAGGGGCUCGGUGAAAUAGACUUGUCUGUGAAGAUGCGGACUACCUGCACCAGGACAGAAAGACCCUAUGAAGCUUUACUGUAACCUGAAAUUGAAAUUGGACUUUACUUGCGCAGUAUAGGUGGGAGGCGUUGAGAAUACUCUUGCGGGAUUAUUGGAGCCAUCAGUGAGAUACCACUCUUGUAAUGUUAGAUUUCUAACUUUGUAUCAUUAUCUGGUCAAAGAACAGUUUCAGGCGGGCAGUUUGACUGGGGCGGUCGCCUCCUAAACGGUAACGGAGGCGCACAAAGGUUUCCUCUGAACGGGUAGAAAUCGUAUCUAGAGUGUAAAGGCAUAAGGAAGCUUGACUGUGAGACCUACAAGUCGAGCAGGGACGAAAGUCGGUCUUAGUGAUCUGACGGUUCUGAGUGGAAAGGCCGUCACUCAACGGAUAAAAGUUACUCUAAGGAUAACAGGCUGAUCUCCCCCAAGAGUUCACAUCGACGGGGAGGUUUGGCACCUCGAUGUCGGCUCAUCGCAUCCUGGGGCGGUAGUACGUCCCAAGGGUUGGGCUGUUCGCCCAUGAAAGCGGUACGCGAGCUGGGUUCAGAACGUCGUGAGACAGUUCGGUCCAUAUCCGGUGUAGGCGUUAGAAUAUUGAGAGGAGCCUUCUUUAGUACGAGAGGACCGAGAAGGACAUACCUCUGGUGUACCAGUUAUCGUGCCAACGGUAAACGCUGGGUAGCUAUGUGUGGAGUGGAUAACCGCUGAAAGCAUCUAAGUGGGAAGCCCACCUCAAGAUAAGUAUUCUC